Molecule: ribosomal RNA, 429 nt
Filed under: Pseudomonadota bacterium
Lineage: Bacteria; Pseudomonadati; Pseudomonadota
Description: Proteobacteria bacterium partial 16S ribosomal RNA
Rfam family: Bacterial small subunit ribosomal RNA
Source: RNAcentral
UGGGGAAUAUUGGACAAUGGGCGAAAGCCUGAUCCAGCCAUGCCGCGUGUGUGAAGAAGGUCUUCGGAUUGUAAAGCACUUUAAGUUGGGAGGAAGGGCAGUAAGCGAAUACCUUGCUGUAUUGACGUUACCGACAGAAUAAGCACCGGCUAACUCUGUGCCAGCAGCCGCGGUAAUACGGAGGGUGCAAGCGUUAAUCGGAAUUACUGGGCGUAAAGCGCGCGUAGGUGGUUCUGUAAGUUGAAUGUGAAAGCCCCGGGCUCAACCUGGGAACUGCAUUCAAAACUGGCGAGCUAGAGUAGUUCAGAGGGAGGUGGAAUUUCCUGUGUAGCGGUGAAAUGCGUAGAUAUAGGAGGGAACACCGGUGGCGAAGGCGACCACCUGGGCUCAUACUGACACUGAUGUGCGAAAGCGUGGGGAGCAAACAGG